UACGAAGGGUGCAAGCGUUACUCGGAAUUACUGGGCGUAAAGGGCGCGUAGGCGGCCUUCUAAGUCGAACGUGAAAUCCCCGGGCUCAACCCGGGAACUGCGUCCGAUACUGGAAGGCUUGAAUCCGGGAGAGGGAUGCGGAAUUCCAGGUGUAGCGGUGAAAUGCGUAGAUAUCUGGAGGAACACCGGUGGCGAAGGCGGCUUCCUGGCCCGUAACUGACGCUGAGGCGCGAAAGCGUGGGGAGCAAACAGG
Molecule: ribosomal RNA, 253 nt
Filed under: uncultured bacterium
Lineage: Bacteria
Description: partial 16S ribosomal RNA
Rfam family: Bacterial small subunit ribosomal RNA
Source: RNAcentral